Molecule: long non-coding RNA, 1201 nt
Organism: Panthera uncia (snow leopard)
Lineage: Eukaryota; Metazoa; Chordata; Mammalia; Carnivora; Felidae
Exons: 2
Source: RefSeq, a predicted model, not a curated record
AGAUGUGUCAGAUGGAGACUUGGUGUCCAGGAUCUAUGGAGAGCUUGUCAAACUCAACACCCAGGGGACAAAUGAUCCAGUGAAGAAAUGGGCAAGGAACGUGAAUGGACACUUCUCCAAAGAAGACAUCCAGAUGGCCAACCGACACAUAAAAAAAAUGCUCAACAUCACUCGUCAUCCGGGAAAUGCAGAUCAAAACCACAACGGGAUACCGCCUCACACCUGUCAGAAUGGCUAACACUGACAACUCAGGCAACAGCAGAUGCUGGCAAGGAUGCAGAGAAAAAGGAUCUCUUUUGCACUGCUGGUGGGAAUGCAAACUGUUGCAGGCACUCUGGAAAACAAUAUGGAGGUUCCUCAAAGGAUUAAAAACAGAACUACCCUACGACCCAGCAAUUGCACUACUAGGUAUUUACCCAAGGGAUGCAGGUGUGCUGUUUCAAAGGGGCACAUGCACCCCAAUGUUUACAGCAGCGCUAUCAACAAACAGCCAAAGUAUGGAAAGAGCCCAGGUGUCCACUGAUGGAUGAAAAGAUAAAGAAGAUAUGGAGGACAGAUGUCAUGUGACUUCACUCAUAUGAGGAUUUUAAGAGGCAGAGAAGAUGAAUAUAAGAGAAGGGAGGCAGGAAUGAUAUGUGAACAGGUAGGGGGACAAAAACAUGGGAGACUCUUAAAUGUGAAGAACAGGCAGAGGGUUACUGGAGGGGUUGUGGGAGGGGUGAUGCGCUGAAUGGGUGGGGGGCACUGGGGAGUUUACUCCUGAAAUCACUGUUGCACUGUAUGCUAACUUGGAUGUAAAUUUAAAAAUAAAAAAGAAAGAAAAAGAAAGAAGCAAUGAUUUCCAUAAACCUUUCUUCCUACCUCAAACACCUGACUGAAUUUUAAAUGUGCCCAGUCUUGAAGGAUAAAUUUGUAUUUAUAUAACAAAAUCUGGUAGAGAACUAAAAUUUGAGAGCCUGAGUAAAGGCAGUCUUGGUGUGAACUCUGGGGACAUUUUCUGACCAGAAAAAAUGUUGGAAAAAGACAUAAAUCCAUACUUUGUCUCUCCCCACUGAUUUUCAAAUACACAGCAAUGGUAGACAAAAUAAAACUUCAAAAAACAGAACUUCUCUAAAACAGCAUGCAUUUCUCAACGGGAAAAAAACAGAAAUAUAAUAAGUGAGUGGGGUUGCAACUUGGGGCAUGAUGAGCUGCUCUACGU